RNAcentral lists this ribosomal RNA (949 nucleotides) under Codinaea dwaya. RNAcentral's name for it is "eukaryotic LSU rRNA". It matches the Rfam family "Eukaryotic large subunit ribosomal RNA", at positions 1 to 962 of the family's 3401-position model. Lineage: Eukaryota; Fungi; Ascomycota; Sordariomycetes; Chaetosphaeriales; Chaetosphaeriaceae. The record is from RNAcentral.
AACCCCCCCAAGUCAAGUGGUUGACCUCGGAUCAGGUAGGAAUACCCGCUGAACUUAAGCAUAUCAAUAAGCGGAGGAAAAGAAACCCACAGGGAUUGCCUCAGUAACGGCGAGUGAAGCGGCAACAGCUCAAAUUUGAAAUCUGGCCCCCCGGCCCGAGUUGUAAUUUGCAGAGGAUGCUUCGGGCGCGGUGCCUUCCAAGUCCCCUGGAACGGGGCGCCAUAGAGGGUGAGAGCCCCGUCUGGUUGGCCGCCAAGCCUGUGUGAAGCUCCUUCGACGAGUCGAGUAGUUUGGGAAUGCUGCUCUAAACGGGAGGUAGACCCCUUCUAAAGCUAAAUACCGGCCAGAGACCGAUAGCGCACAAGUAGAGUGAUCGAAAGAUGAAAAGCACUUUGAAAAGAGGGUUAAACAGUACGUGAAAUUGUUGAAAGGGAAGCGCUUGUGACCAGACGUGCGCCGGGUGUUCAGCGGGCGUUUUCGCCCGUGCAUUCGCCCCGGCGCAGGCCAGCGUCGGUUCGGGCGGGGGGACAAAGGCGCCAGGAACGUAGCUCCCCCGGGAGUGUUAUAGCCUGGCGCGCCAUGCCCCCGCCCGGACCGAGGUUCGCGCUCCGCAAGGACGCUGGCGUAAUGGUCCCCAGCGGCCCGUCUUGAAACACGGACCAAGGAGUCGAGGUUUUACGCGAGUGUCUGGGUGUCAAACCCGCACGCGAAAUGAAAGUGAACGCAGGUGGGAGCUUCGGCGCACCACCGACCGAUCCUGAUGUUCUCGGAUGGAUUUGAGUAGGAGCGUGGGGCCUCGGACCCGAAAGAUGGUGAACUAUACUUGGAUAGGGUGAAGCCAGAGGAAACUCUGGUGGAGGCUCGCAGCGGGUCUGACGUGCAAAUCGAUCGUCAAAUCUGAGUAUGGGGGCGAAAGACUAAUCGAACCAUCUAGUAGCUGGUUACCGCC